RNAcentral lists this transfer RNA (72 nucleotides) under Phrynosoma platyrhinos (Desert horned lizard). RNAcentral's name for it is "tRNA-OTHER". It matches the Rfam family "tRNA". Rfam says of the family: Transfer RNA (tRNA) molecules are approximately 80 nucleotides in length. Their secondary structure includes four short double-helical elements and three loops (D, anti-codon, and T loops). The record is from RNAcentral. Lineage: Eukaryota; Metazoa; Chordata; Lepidosauria; Squamata; Phrynosomatidae.
GCCAGUGUGGUGUAGUGGUUUUAAUGUUGGACAAUGGCUCAGGAGACCAGGGUUCAAUUCCCUGCUCAGGCA